RNAcentral lists this transfer RNA (84 nucleotides) under Ruminococcus sp. RNAcentral describes it as "tRNA-Leu". It matches the Rfam family "tRNA". Rfam says of the family: Transfer RNA (tRNA) molecules are approximately 80 nucleotides in length. Their secondary structure includes four short double-helical elements and three loops (D, anti-codon, and T loops). Lineage: Bacteria; Bacillati; Bacillota; Clostridia; Eubacteriales; Oscillospiraceae. RNAcentral also lists the same sequence under 2 other names. The record is from RNAcentral.
GUCCGGGUGGUGGAAUUGGUAGACACGCUACUUUGAGGGGGUAGUGCCCGUUGGGGCGUGUGAGUUCGAAUCUCAUCUCGGACA